GAUGAACGCUGGCGGCGUGCCUAAUACAUGCAAGUAGAACGCUGAAGGAAGGAGCUUGCUCUUUCCGGAUGAGUUGCGAACGGGUGAGUAACGCGUAGGUAACCUGCCUGGUAGCGGGGGAUAACUAUUGGAAACGAUAGCUAAUACCGCAUAACAGUAGAUGUUGCAUGAUAUCUACUUAAAAGGUGCAAUUGCACCACUACCAGAUGGACCUGCGUUGUAUUAGCUAGUUGGUGAGGUAACGGCUCACCAAGGCGACGAUACAUAGCCGACCUGAGAGGGUGAUCGGCCACACUGGGACUGAGACACGGCCCAGACUCCUACGGGAGGCAGCAGUAGGGAAUCUUCGGCAAUGGACGGAAGUCUGACCGAGCAACGCCGCGUGAGUGAAGAAGGUUUUCGGAUCGUAAAGCUCUGUUGUAAGAGAAGAACGAGUGUGAGAGUGGAAAGUUCACACUGUGACGGUAUCUUACCAGAAAGGGACGGCGAACUACGU
This 496-nucleotide ribosomal RNA is filed under the name uncultured bacterium. Its description in RNAcentral is "partial 16S ribosomal RNA". It matches the Rfam family "Bacterial small subunit ribosomal RNA", at positions 28 to 506 of the family's 1533-position model. The record is from RNAcentral.